GGUGCUUCACCAAACAAACUGCAAAUUUCUCUAAUUUGUUUCAGUGCAGGAAUGACCCAUUUGUCAUUUGUGCGAAGCUCUUCUAUAAAACGAUCUAUCCACUGGAUCUUUUGUGUAUCUCGAUCCUGUGAACAGCUGUAAUCUAAGAUUUUAAUAUGGGCACUAAGAGCCUGGUCCAUGAUAUCAACUGGUACAUCAUCACUGUGAGCCAGAUUCCACAAAAGGUUCAGCACUUUGUG
This 239-nucleotide long non-coding RNA is filed under the name Gallus gallus (chicken). The record is from RNAcentral. Lineage: Eukaryota; Metazoa; Chordata; Aves; Galliformes; Phasianidae.